GGCUUCUUGAUGUCUAUGGGAGGUUUGGCCUGCCCGGUGAUUUUUUAACGGCCGCGGUAUUCUGACCGUGCAAAGGUAGCAUAAUCAUUAGUCUUUUAAUAGGAGGCUGGUAUGAAAGGCUUGACGAGGUAAUAACUGUCUCAUUUGAAUAGGUUUAAAAUUUAACUUUUAAGUUAAAAGGCUUAAAUGUUGUUGGAAGACGAGAAGACCCUAUAGAGCUUUAUAUUUAUGCCUUUGAUUUUUAUUAGUUUAUAAGUAUAAAUUACUUUUUAUAAUUAUUUUGUUGGGGUGACAAAAAUAUUUAAUUAACUUUUAUAUUUAUUACACAUUAAUUUAUGGGUUUUAGAUCCAUUAUUAUUGAUCAUUAGAAUAAGUUACCUUAGGGAUAACAGCGUAAUCCUCUUUUGGAGUUCAAAUUUACAAGGGGGCUUGCGACCUCGAUGUUGGAUUAAGAUAAUAGUUAGGUGUAGCAGCUUAAUUUGUAGGUCUGUUCGACCUUUAAAUUCUUACAUGAUCUGAGUUCAAACCGG
This 530-nucleotide ribosomal RNA is filed under the name Metagrion fornicatum. RNAcentral describes it as "partial 16S ribosomal RNA". It matches the Rfam family "Bacterial large subunit ribosomal RNA", at positions 1832 to 2619 of the family's 2925-position model. The record is from RNAcentral. Lineage: Eukaryota; Metazoa; Arthropoda; Insecta; Odonata; Argiolestidae.